AUGGAGGCUGACCAAUGGUGGAGCCCCGGCACACCAAACAGCAAUAUCGCCCCUGGUGAGCUUGCCGAGAGCCGGGGGAUGCCCGUUGUGCAAUUGUGGUUUGGCCAAUCCACCUCCAAUUACAACUACGUCCUUGAGUCCCGGUACGAGAUUCUAUGGGUGUCUAUUAACACCCGGGAACAUGACAGGUAUCUCAUAGGGACAAACCCCUACCUUGUCAAAGUUAAGGUGUCAGUGCAGGCACUUGAGGAGCCUCUGUUGUCACAAUCCUCGCCAUUGGAGAAGAUGAGAUGGGUGAGAAAGGAUGGCCGUAGUCUGGCCGACCGCGUGUUGUUCCUCGGUACACGCCAUAGCUUUGUUGUGGAUGCGGGGCGGGUGCCCAAUGGAAAUGGCGGGUGUGCCUACUUCGUGUACCACAAUAAUAAUGCCUUUACAUAUGGGAGGCAUGCCGUGUUCAGGUGCAACCUCAUCAAUGGCAGAGCUGAGCUUGAAAUCAGUGAGGAGUCACCAAAGCAGCAACAGCAAAUAGCUCCAAGAAUUUCUAGUCCACCAAGACACACCAUUCACAUCGAGAGACAUCGUGUGCCUAGUUUUAAGGUGCUGGUGCGCAAUCUUCCUCUCACGGUGAAGAACACUCAGCUACGGCUCUUCUUCAGCGAGCACGGUAAAGUCCUCAUUCGCAUACAAAUCACCAGGGAGAAGGAGAAUGACAGCACAGGAUCAGCCAUUCAGACGGCGAGGGAGGGCACGCCGUCGCCAAAUCACCAGCGGCCCCGGAUUGCCAUGACCUCCCAGCCCACUGUCAAAGAAGACCCCUGUCUCCUCGCCUGGCUCGAAGGCGCCAAACCGUUGACAGUGUAG
Molecule: ribosomal RNA, 861 nt
Filed under: Triticum aestivum (bread wheat)
Lineage: Eukaryota; Viridiplantae; Streptophyta; Magnoliopsida; Poales; Poaceae
Description: partial small subunit ribosomal RNA
Source: RNAcentral